GAAAAAUAGUUGGAAAAGAAAAGGAGAAUGAAUCCGUAGUUGAUUUAAUGGGGGAGAAGGAGAAGAGACUGGAUUCUCUUCAGCCAGGAUUCCUCAGAGAGACAACACUCAGUAAGGAGGAUUAGGGAUGGAUUUCUUCAUGGCAGAGAAGUUUGGAUUCUAUAGCGUGAAUACUGAAAGGCCAUCUUGCCUCUGAUCAGCAGAUGCAUGAAGUGUAGGCAUGAAGCGUAUAUUGUCAAUAAUCAUCUGAAGACGUCAUGAAGUUAGGAGAUUUCAACGCUUCCCUCCACCCUUUCUCUUUUUAAAACGCAGCUGUGAUUCGGGGGCUAGCUUCCUCAGAAUCUCCAUUUGAAAUUGGCAGAAACGGUGUCGCUGAGGACUCCUCUCAUGUCCUGUCACAUUUCCAUGCGAACAAAUCUCAUCUCACUGACGACGCCUGUCAAGUUUCACUUCGUUGCAGAGAUUUUUCAGAAGUACCAUGUGAUCAGGAGAACAAGAUGCAUGGAGGAAGUAACGCAUAAUGCUUGUGAGAGGUGGAAAGGACCUUAAAGAUCAUGUGGCUCAAUUCUCAUUUGCAGAUGAGGAAAGUGAGACCCAAGGAAGGAAAGUGACCUGGUAUAUGGCAAAGACAAAAUUUUAACCCAGGUUUCUUACCUUUGAAUCCAUUGCUCUGUUAACCACCGCAGGAAGAGUAAAAAGAAGGGAGAAGAGUUGCAGGAAGAAGUUUUGCUCAUUUCAGCGUUGGUCAUCCUAUUCCAUACAUAUCAUUCUCAGUUAAGCAUAUAUAACUUCCA
This 794-nucleotide long non-coding RNA is filed under the name Phascolarctos cinereus (koala). RNAcentral's name for it is "lncRNA (ENSPCIG00000006859.2)". Lineage: Eukaryota; Metazoa; Chordata; Mammalia; Diprotodontia; Phascolarctidae. The record is from RNAcentral.